AACAGGCUAAUCGGGGAAAAGUAGACGCAAAUGGUCACUGUGUUACACGGUCGUAAAUCAUCCCGAGUAGUUACUUUAAACGAAUGGACGAUCGAUGGUUAUCAGCGAAAACGACGCUAAAAGGUGCUGCAAACGAAACGCUAUGUGUUUUCUUUAUAUUCUAUGAAGUAACGUUUUCCCAGGCGGACUACGAUCGCGUUAAACGAAGUAUAAAUUAAGGCUCGAUGGGAUAGACGGCGUUCGAAUCUGCAACGUAACCUGCCAUUGUCAUAGUUUACGGUAGAUUUGUAAAAUGAACGGUAACCACGGCGCUAUAGUCGAUAGAUACGAUACGUAAUAAUCGGUUAACGGCUGUUCUAUCGGAUACGAAAAGCAUGCGAAUCGAAUGAAACGGUGAUUCGAAUAUCUGCCAUUAAACUAAGUCUCGUUCGCAGAAUGCUGCGGCUGCAUUCUCAUGCGCGUGUGGUCUUUCAUCACGAUUACAUUUCGAGGUGAAGAUCGUGUGUGGUUCCUUCGGAAAGGUCUUGUAGAAUGUUGUACAGAAGGUUAAUAGCGGAUUCGAUUGUGAAAGGUCUGUUGGUAUGGUAUUGGCUUGGCAACUAAAUGAUUGCGCAUUUUAUCGUUAGGUGGUAUUGACAAAAUCCGCAAUCACUUAAUUUGCAAGCUGAACAAAAGCGUGCGAUAAUUUGUAUCGUUAAUUGCAAUUGUAGGAAAAAGAUCUUGCAAUUGUUCUUUUAUACUACUUCGUGUUCUUUGAAGCACUAUAGUAAUAUCGACACAGUAUCUCAAUUAGUAAAUUAACGCGGAAUUAUGAAUGGACUGUUGACCUUUAUGCAAUCUCAUAUUUUAACAAAUGAAACCUAAAUUACAUUUCACUAUUUUAUAUGUUUUUUUACAUAUUACGUGCAAUCCUAUAUUUUUACAAUUUUUUCAGCAUUUUGUCAAUAUUUACACCAAUAAAUAGCAAUAGUCGCUUAAGCACAGUAGAACUCCUAACCUCAAUUUAUUAGGAGGAGAAUUAAGCGAUUCAUAUAUUAGGUUGGCAACUAAGUGAUUGCGGGUUUUGUCGUUACUACCUAACGACAAAACCCGCAAUCACUUAGUUUGCUAAUCCAAUACUUUGAACUCCUACCGUCUUGCAGAACAAGUGCAAAAGUUUUUCUCUUUUUUAUUACUUAAUAUGCACUUUACAAUUUGUGAAAUGCAAAAUUGUUCUCUGAUAAAAAUGAAGGAAGAGAAAUGAACCAGCGGCGUACUUACAGACAAUUGUAAAGGAGGGAAUCGACGAUUUUGACAGUGAAACAUGUGGCACCGUUCAAGCAGUACCAUUCCGCAUAAUCCGGUGGACACGUGUACAUGUGGAAUGUGAUGUUCGGUCGAGGCGUCGGCGUCGGUGGCCGUGGUUUCGGCGUCGACCGCGA
Bombus huntii is the source of this 1421-nucleotide long non-coding RNA. RefSeq lists it as uncharacterized. The record is from RefSeq and is a predicted model, not a curated record. The transcript has 3 exons. Lineage: Eukaryota; Metazoa; Arthropoda; Insecta; Hymenoptera; Apidae.